Molecule: non-coding RNA, 318 nt
Organism: Tetranychus urticae (two-spotted spider mite)
Lineage: Eukaryota; Metazoa; Arthropoda; Arachnida; Trombidiformes; Tetranychidae
Source: RefSeq, a predicted model, not a curated record
UGGUGUUCAUAUUAAAAUUUCCCUGAAAAAUCGUUUGCAGAAAUGAAUUCCGCAAAUGGAAAUGCAUGAAUGCAAGGAACCUUGGUGUUCAUGAAAAGGAACUUAUCCUGCAAUUAAGUGAUCAUGCUAGGCGUCAAAUGGAACAGCUCUCGAUUGGACGGCUAACGGAUUUAUCGGCACCUGACUGGCUAUAAUUUUCCUUAAUCCAACAUUUCUUUUGGUUGGGUGGUACACUAGCUUUCUGCUAUAAAAGGUUUGGAAGUAUAUGACAACUGCUUUUUUGCGGUUAGAUGAUCUCUGGCAUUGUAAUGCUGUUUG